CAAAUGUGCAGGAUAAACAAUGCAGUCAAAAUAAUGUACCCUUCGGCCUGCUGCAAGUUCCCUAAUUACGAUUUGCAGUUCAUAUAUCAUUUUGAUAACAAGGCGCUCUUUAAGUCAGAAAUAUCCAAUUACCCUUACACAUAAUCUAGGGACUAUUAUAAUUGUACACAUGGCUCAUAUAUCAUUCGAUGAAACUAGACAGCCAGACUGAAGACCUUAGGCAAUUUGUUGUUAUUCCUUGUGGUUUAUAUAAUUAUACGAUAUGAUAUAAAAUAAUAGUAAUAGGAAGGAAAAAUUUAUAAAUAAUUUUAUCAAAGAGACCUUAACUUUUCCAAGUCGCAGGCAGAUUGAGUACACCAUAUCAUAAUAUCUUAUUAUUAUGUCUUUCAUAAAUGUUCUGCAUAUGUGCCCUAUAUAUAAUAUACUCCAUAUUCCUAACAUUUAAAUUCACAUUUCCUCCAAGCUCAUAUCAAGUGAUAACCUUUAAUUUUCCUGCAUAACCGACUAAACUUAACUGAUUGAUAUAUAGAAAAAGAAAGAAGAAGAGCGAGCAAGAGCACGUUUUAAAUAUGACAAAUUGAGAAUGAUGCCAACUGGAAAUGGAGCCUGACACCGCGCUCAAUUAACAAGCAAAUGCUGAAAGCCCGCAUUCAACUGAAAAUGAUAUAGAGGGGAGAUGUCAGGCAGAGAGAGAGAGAGAGAGAGAGUAACAGAGAAGAACAGAGAGAGAUAAUGAUACAAAUGGAGCUAAUGCAGGGCCUAGCCGGAAAUGAUGCAACGCAUACACUCGCAGCUCGCUCUAUAGAGGCAAAAUUAAAGUGGGCGGGGCAGACAGAGUCGGAACUGGAACUGGAGUUGGAGUUGGAGCUGAGACUGAAGUCAGAGACACAGUCACAGUCGGAGUCAGAGUCAGAGUCAGAGUCUAAAUGCUGCGUUGUAAUUUCAGUUACUAAUGAGAGAAUUAAAAACACUUUGCUUCAAGGGGCAGGAGAAGCAGCAAUGAUAAGCGGGAAAAACUCUCCAAAAGAGUGUGUGUGUGUGUGUAUGUGUUUAGCUGCUGUUGCCAACAGGCAAGCAGGCAAGCAGCCUAACUAAUGAAAGGAAAACACAAACAUAUGCCGGCUCACGAGCGUUGGUAAUGAAAAAUCAGACAGACGACAGCAUUUGUUUAGGCCAGGCUAAGGAACCUGUCUGUAGCAGCAGCAGCAGCAGCAACAACAACAACAACAAACGACGUCCCUUGGGCAAACAGCCAGAGAUAAAUUGUCAGUUAAAGGCACAGGCAGGAAAAUUGUGCAAAGUGCAAGGUGAGAAAAGAGCAGAAGACGAAAUAAAUAAGAUGAAGCUGCCGGAGCUGCAGCAGCAGCAGUCGAGGCAACCUUUUGUGGCACAGGUCUCGACAGAAACUGAACAGAAAUAUGCCGACUCAGAGGAAAUGCAUUCAGGCUGGAGCGCAGCAAAGGUAAAAGGUUAUAAACCGAGGCAAGAAAGAACGAGAUAAGAAAAGACAACAGUUCGAAUACCCUAACCAAACAAAUGCAGUCCAAAAUACAGGUGAGAUGUGAAUAGGGCAACAUUGUAGCCAAGACAAUGCCAAGAAACUAGAUAAUAAAUUGAAUGGAUGAACAAAUUAUAUCAAA
Molecule: long non-coding RNA, 1640 nt
Organism: Drosophila mojavensis
Lineage: Eukaryota; Metazoa; Arthropoda; Insecta; Diptera; Drosophilidae
Exons: 2
Source: RefSeq, a predicted model, not a curated record